UUUAUUUUUAAAAUCUAAAAAAAUUAUAUAUAAAAUUAUGGUUAAUUAAAAAUUUUAUUUUUUUAAAAAUUUAGUA
Molecule: transfer RNA, 76 nt
Filed under: Neomysis orientalis
Lineage: Eukaryota; Metazoa; Arthropoda; Malacostraca; Mysida; Mysidae
Description: tRNA-Tyr
Source: RNAcentral